Long non-coding RNA from Ailuropoda melanoleuca (giant panda), 2624 nucleotides. RefSeq lists it as uncharacterized. Lineage: Eukaryota; Metazoa; Chordata; Mammalia; Carnivora; Ursidae. The transcript is spliced from 3 exons. The record is from RefSeq and is a predicted model, not a curated record.
AGCUGCUGCAAAGGGAGAUGCUUUGGAAAGAGUCCGUCGAAGGAUGUCGUCUGAGCAGAAAUUCUUAAUAUGGAAAAAAAAUGAGACAGUCAUGGUCAGGCUGGAUUUUAAAAACCUGGGUGAGCGUCGUUAGCCUGUUUGCCGGAAGGAAGGUUAGACUUAUCAUGGUUGCAACUUCCAGAGGCACAAAGCCUGCUUAACACCGCCCAGGUCCCUCUAUCAGGAAUGCCAGUUACAGAAGCGUCAGGACAUGCUUCAGGAGCAAAGUUCUACCCCAGGCAUAAUGACAAAGCUGUGCCCUGUCAGACGCAGCUUCUCGGGGACCGUGUGGGCGCCAGGAACGCACCCAGGGAAGGACAAGGCCCUGCCCCAUGAGACAGAGGGAAGAAGGGGGGAUCCCCUUCUCCUUUCCUCUCCUCCUUCCUCCCGCCCCGACGCGGGAGGGGUCUGCGCCAGAAGAACCUGUAGAAUUUGGUGCAUGCCAGGAAGACAAGCAGGUAGAUUUGCAAGGAGAAGCACACAGCCAGGUGGGGCCACUGCUCAGUCUUCUCCCGGCUUCCUCACCUGAGAGGUACGCUCCACGAUCACAGCCAGUCCACGGGCGGCUGCCGGCCCAGCACGUGGGAAGUGCUGUCGUAUCUGCCGUUAUAAUGACAGGCCAGUAAAGGAAGAAAAAAGAGAAAUAGGGAAACCAUCACCUGUAGUUCUCUGACCUGGGACAGGCACGGUGAACCCCUUCGGGUAUAUGCUUCCGCACUGUUCGUGCGUGUAUAUGCCAUCCACGCGGCCGGUUCCACCAUGCGGCGUGCGACCACACGUGUCCCGUAGUCCCCCGUGCUCUCUGGGGUCCUGUGAGCAAGACGGCCGAGUUAGGGCUCCCCGCGCGCCCGGAGCCUUCGUGCCUGCGGUUCCGCUUGCGGCCACCGGGUGUCGCUGUUGAGCCGGGCCGGGCCGCUCCUUCGGGAAGGACGCCCUUGGACCUUUUUGAAACCGUGCUGCGCUCCGCAAGGGGUGCCCCAGGCUGGAACCCCAAGCUUGCAGCUUGCGGCUCUCGGCGUUCAGCAGCUCCCUUUACCGCACACCUCCCGCUAGCUUCAGGAGCUCCGGGUUAGGGCAGUUUCUGGCACCUGCCACCUCCUAGACCCAGAGGUGGUGGGGGCCCCAGCAGGAGCUGGUCCAGCCCCCCAGUCACACCCCCUCUUCCGGGGAAUGUGGCUGCCCGCCCGGGCCCCAAGUCGGACCCACAAAGGCACGGACGUUUGUGCGUGGUCCCUGUUGGAUAGCUCCCUUGGAGGGGCCCCAGCCGCCGCACUGGACACUCAGACAUGCAGCGGAGAUCAGCGAAGGGCCGGAGCCGGUUUGCCAGCCGUGUGAGGGACCCAGCCUAGAGGUGACCCCGUCGUGCCUGCAGACUUCUGACCCCUCACUGCGGCCGCACGGGAGACUCUGAGCCAGGACGCCCAGCAAACUGCCCCUGAAUUCCAGACCCCCUGAAACCGUGAGAGCUCAUGACAAACACAUGACCUUGCUGUUGAAGCCGUAAGAUUUGGGGGUGAUGUAUGCCCCUGGGCUCGCCAACCCCAACCCCUCCUGCUUCCCCACCGACCCUGGGGGAUAGUUUGUGUCCUCAUGUCUUCGUGUCCUCGUUGCUGGGCCUGCCGUGCUUGGGGCCGACGCAGCCUUACUGGUCGAUCCUCUGAGAGCAGACGUGCCUGGAGAUUCUGGGGGUGAUUCCUGGGUGAUUUUCUGUCCUCUCUAGUUCUGUGAGGCUGGACACCACUUUCGUUUAUUAAAAGGGACACCGACGUCAACUCUAACAGGAACCCCUCUGGAAGGGCGUCUCUUCAAGAUCAUCUCAAAUGAGCUGUAUUAGCCCAGUUGAUGGGGGCAAACAGCCCAGCGGAUUGUGACCGGCCAACCGCUAAGGUUUUCUUGUAUUAAUUUUGCUAUUUUUACCUUGACGAGGUCAUAGUGCACACGCUCUUUGUACCCUCUGUCGGACCCUUCGCUGCCACGUCCCGAGCCCACGGGAGGUCAACACAGACCAACGCUAUGUGAAGGGUUGUCUGGAGGGACCAUUAUUUACGACCAGUCCCCGGAAACCUGGAGCCCAGAACGUUGCCCCUUUCGUGAUAGUGUGAGCACCACAUUUACUCUUUUUAAUUGUGGUAAAAUACACAUCUCACAAAAUGUACAUAUUCACCGUCCAUAAGUGUUCAGUGCAGGGCACCGAGCACAUUCCCCUCGUGCAGCCGGCACCGCGGUCCGUCUCCAGGACCUUCCAUCUUCCCGAACGGACGCUCUGCCCCAUUGAACCCUAGCCCCCAGUCCCCAGCCCCCAGGCCCCCCGCACCUCCGUCCACUCUCUGUCUCUAUGCGUGUGGCCAUGCUAGGUUCCUCAUUGGAGCGGGAGCACACAGUCCUUGCCCUCUGGGCCGGCGUGUGUCCCUCAGCGUGUCCUGUACGUUCAUCCACAGUGCCGCGGGGGCGGAACGCCCUUCCUUUUUAGGGCUGAAUGCUAUUCCACUGUAUGGAUGGGCCACAUUUUCCUUUCUUUAAAGAUUUUAUUUCUUUGACAGAGAGACAGCAAGAGAGGGAACACAAGCAGGGGGAGUGGCAGAGAG